RNAcentral lists this ribosomal RNA (253 nucleotides) under uncultured bacterium. RNAcentral describes it as "partial 16S ribosomal RNA". It matches the Rfam family "Bacterial small subunit ribosomal RNA", at positions 524 to 776 of the family's 1533-position model. The record is from RNAcentral.
UACAGAGGGUGCAAGCGUUAAUCGGAGUUACUGGGCGUAAAGGGCGCGUAGGCGGUUUGUUGGGUGUGAUGUGAAAGCCUUGGGCUUAACCUGAGAAGUGCAACGCAAACUAAUAAACUGGAGUAUAUGAGAGGGUGGCGGAAUUUCCGGUGUAGCGGUGAAAUGCGUAGAGAUCGGAAGGAACGUCAAUGGCGAAGGCAGCCACCUGGCAUAAUACUGACGCUGAGGCGCGAAAGCGUGGGGAGCGAACAGG